RNAcentral lists this ribosomal RNA (460 nucleotides) under uncultured bacterium. RNAcentral describes it as "partial 16S ribosomal RNA". It matches the Rfam family "Bacterial small subunit ribosomal RNA", at positions 338 to 795 of the family's 1533-position model. The record is from RNAcentral.
CCUACGGGAGGCUGCAGUGAGGAAUAUUGAUCAAUGGGCGGGAGCCUGAACCAGCCAAGUCGCGUGAGGGAAGACGGUCCUAUGGAUUGUAAACCUCUUUAGGCGGGGAGCAAUGCCGGGCACGCGUGCCCGGAGGGAGAGUACCCGCAGAAUAAGCAUCGGCUAACUCCGUGCCAGCAGCCGCGGUAAUACGGAGGAUGCGAGCGUUAUCCGGAUUUAGUGGGUUUAAAGGGUGCGUAGGCGGAUUUUUAAGUCAGCGGUAAAAUGUCCGGGCUCAACCCGGGCCGGCCGUUGAAACUGGGGAUCUUGAGUGGGCGAGAAGUAUGCGGAAUGCGUGGUGUAGCGGUGAAAUGCAUAGAUAUCACGCAGAACUCCGAUUGCGAAGGCAGCAUACCGGCGCCCGACUGACGCUGAGGCACGAAAGCGUGGGGAUCGAACAGGAUUAGAUACCCUUGUAGUC